This 2886-nucleotide ribosomal RNA is filed under the name Clostridioides difficile. RNAcentral's name for it is "bacterial LSU rRNA". It matches the Rfam family "Bacterial large subunit ribosomal RNA". The record is from RNAcentral. Lineage: Bacteria; Bacillati; Bacillota; Clostridia; Peptostreptococcales; Peptostreptococcaceae.
UUAAGGGUGCAGGGCGGAUGCCUUGGCACUAGGAGCCGAUGAAGGACGUGAUAAGCUGCGAUAAGCUUCGGGGAGUUGCACGUAAACUUUGAUCCGAAGAUUUCCGAAUGAGGAAACUCACUUAGAGUAAUGUCUAAGUAUCAUUAAGUGAAUACAUAGCUUAAUGAGGGGAACUCAGGGAACUGAAACAUCUAAGUACCUGAAGGAAGAGAAAGAAAUUCGAUUCCGUAAGUAGCGGCGAGCGAACGCGGAUUAGCCCAAACCAAUAAAGUUUUCUUUAUUGGGGUUGCGGACAUAUCAUAACGAAGAGGUAUCGUAAUUGAAGAGGUUUGGAAAGACCCACCACAGAAGGUAAUAGUCCUGUAUGUUAAACGAGAAGACUUCAGAUAUGAUCCAGAGUACCACGGGACACGUGAAACCCUGUGGGAAGCAGGAGGGACCACCCUCCAAGGCUAAAUACUACCUAGUGACCGAUAGCGUAUAGUACCGUGAGGGAAAGGUGAAAAGAACCCCGGGAGGGGAGUGAAAUAGAACCUGAAACCCUGCACUUACAAGCUGUGGAAGCACAUUUCUUGUGUGACCGCGUACUUUUUGUAGAACGGGCCAACGAGUUACGUUAAGUAGCAAGGUUAAGCACUUAAGGUGCGGAGCCGUAGCGAAAGCGAGUUUUAACUGAGCGUUCAGUUACUUGACGUAGACCCGAAACCGGGCGACCUACCCAUGAGCAGGAUGAAGCGAAAGUAAAAUUUCGUGGAGGUCCGAACCCACGAGCGUUGAAAAGCUCGGGGAUGACUUGUGGGUAGCGGUGAAAUUCCAAUCGAGCCCGGAGAUAGCUGGUUCUCCCCGAAAUAGCUUUAGGGCUAGCCUCAAGGUGAGAGAUACGGAGGUAGAGCACUGAAUGUCCUAGGGGGUAUUGCACCUACCGAAGACUAUCAAACUCCGAAUGCCGUCAUCUUAUACUUGGGAGUCAGACUGUGGGUGAUAAGAUUCAUAGUCGAAAGGGCAACAGCCCAGAUCGUCAGCUAAGGUCCCUAAAUGUAAGUUAAGUGGUAAAGGAUGUGGGAUUGCACAGACAACCAGGAUGUUGGCUUAGAAGCAGCCACUCAUUCAAAGAGUGCGUAAUAGCUCACUGGUCGAGUGAUCCUGCGCCGAAGAUUUCCGGGGCUAAAACUUACUACCGAAGCUACGGCAUCAGUAAUGAUGGGUAGGGGAGCUUCCCAUACGGGUUGAAGCAUGACCGUAAGGACAUGUGGACAGUAUGGGAGUGAGAAUGUUGGCAUGAGUAGCGAGAUGUGGGUGAGAAUCCCACAGGCCGUAAACCCAAGGUUUCCAGGGGAAGGUUCGUCCGCCCUGGGUUAGUCGGGACCUAAGCUGAGGCCGAAAGGCGUAGGUGAUGGACAACAGGUUGAUAUUCCUGUACUACCGAUAACCGUUUGAGAGAAGGGAUGACACAGUAGGAUAAGCUAAGCACACUGUUGGUUAUGUGUGCCCAAGCAUUGAGGCAGUCAAAGUAGGCAAAUCCGCUUUGAUAAUGCUGGGAUGUGAUGGGGAGCGAAAUUUAGUAGCGAAGUAGCUGAUUUCACACUGUCAAGAAAAGUCUCUAUCGAGGUUAAAGGUACCCGUACCGCAAACCGACACAGGUGGGUGAGGAGAGUAUCCUAAGGCCAGCGAGAGAACUGUUGUUAAGGAACUCGGCAAAAUGACCCCGUAACUUAGGGAUAAGGGGUGCCACCAUCAGGUGGCCGCAGAGAAUAGGCCCAAGCGACUGUUUACCAAAAACAUAGGUUUCUGCUAAGUCGCAAGACGAUGUAUAGGAGCUGACGCCUGCCCGGUGCUGGAAGGUUAAGGGGAUCUGUUAGAGCAAUCGAAGCAGUGAACUUAAGCCCCAGUAAACGGCGGCCGUAACUAUAACGGUCCUAAGGUAGCGAAAUUCCUUGUCGGGUAAGUUCCGACCCGCACGAAAGGCGUAACGAUUUGGGCACUGUCUCAACAACAGACUCGGUGAAAUUGUAAUUCCGGUGAAGAUGCCGGAUACCUGCGACAGGACGGAAAGACCCCAUGGAGCUUUACUGUAGCUUGACAUUGGGUCUUGGUACUACAUGUACAGGAUAGGUGGGAGGCUUUGAAACCAGGACGCCAGUUUUGGCGGAGCCAUCCUUGGGAUACCACCCUUGUAGUACUGGGACUCUAACCAUAGGCCAUGAAUCUGGUCUUGGGACACUGUCAGGUGGGCAGUUUGACUGGGGCGGUCGCCUCCCAAAAGGUAACGGAGGCGCUCAAAGGUUCUCUCAGUACGGUCGGAAAUCGUACGUAGAGUGUAAAGGCAAAAGAGAGCUUGAUUGCAAGACAUACAGGUCGAGCAAGGAUGAAAAUCGGACUUAGUGAUCCGGUGGUUCUGCGUGGAAGGGCCAUCGCUCAACGGAUAAAAGCUACCCUGGGGAUAACAGGCUUAUCUCCCCCAAGAGUCCACAUCGACGGGGAGGUUUGGCACCUCGAUGUCGGCUCAUCACAUCCUGGGGCUGUAGUAGGUCCCAAGGGUUGGGCUGUUCGCCCAUUAAAGUGGUACGCGAGCUGGGUUCAGAACGUCGUGAGACAGUUCGGUCCCUAUCCGUCGCAGGCGUAGGAAAUUUGAGAAGACCUGUCCUUAGUACGAGAGGACCGGGAUGGACGUACCUCUGGUGUACCAGUUGUCCUGCCAAGGGCAUGGCUGGGUAGCUAUGUACGGAAUGGAUAAGCGCUGAAAGCAUCUAAGCGCGAAGCCAACUUCAAGAUAAGAUUUCCCACCGCAAGGGUAAGACCCCAGAAAGACUAUCUGGUUGAUAGGUCGAAGGUGUAAGUGCAGCAAUGUAUUUAGCUUAUCGAUACUAAUAGGUCGAGGACUUGACC